This 573-nucleotide ribosomal RNA is filed under the name uncultured bacterium. RNAcentral's name for it is "partial 16S ribosomal RNA". It matches the Rfam family "Bacterial small subunit ribosomal RNA", at positions 355 to 920 of the family's 1533-position model. The record is from RNAcentral.
UGGGGAAUUUUGGACAAUGGGCGAAAGCCUGAUCCAGCAAUGCCGCGUGUGUGAAGAAGGCCUUCGGGUUGUAAAGCACUUUUGUCCGAAAAGAAAUCCUUGGCUCUAAUACAGUCGGGGGAUGACGGUACCGGAAGAAUAAGCACCGGCUAACUACGUGCCAGCAGCCGCGGUAAUACGUAGGGUGCAAGCGUUAAUCGGAAUUACUGGGCGUAAAGCGUGCGCAGGCGGUUUGCUAAGACCGAUGUGAAAUCCCCGGGCUCAACCUGGGAACUGCAUUGGUGACUGGCAGGCUAGAGUAUGGCAGAGGGGGGUAGAAUUCCACGUGUAGCAGUGAAAUGCGUAGAGAUGUGGAGGAAUACCGAUGGCGAAGGCAGCCCCCUGGGCCAAUACUGACGCUCAUGCACGAAAGCGUGGGGAGCAAAACAGGAUUAGAUACCCUGGUAGUCCACGCCCUAAACGAUGUCAACUAGUUGUUGGGGAUUCAUUUCCUUAGUAACGCAGCUAACGCGUGAAGUUGACCGCCUGGGGAGUACGGUCGCAAGAUUAAAACUCAAAUGAAUUGACGGGGUC